CGUUGAAGCACCAGUUCCUGUACAAACACUGAAGUUAAGCAACGUUGAGCUUGGUCAGUACCUAGAUAGGUAACUGCUUGGGAAUACCAGGUGCAGUA
Non-coding RNA from Acanthosepion pharaonis, 98 nucleotides. Lineage: Eukaryota; Metazoa; Mollusca; Cephalopoda; Sepiida; Sepiidae. The record is from the annotation of a GenBank genome assembly.